AUUUUUUCAAACAGAAUCAGCUUGACAAAAGUACUGAUAUCGAGUUCUGCCAGAAUGGAAAGACCGGAUAAACCUAAAGUCUUGGUUACACGGCCAGAUAUACCUGACGCAGGCUUAAAUUUAUUGCGUGAACGGUGUCAAAUCAUAUUAUGGGAUAAACAUGAACCAAUACCACGAUCGCAGUUGUUAUCCAAAAUCCCUGGAAUAGAUGCCUUGUAUUGUGUGCUAACAGACAAGAUAGACGAUGAGAUUUUAGAUGCUGCUGGUCCACAAUUAAAAAUUGUGGCAUCUAUGUCAGUAGGAGUAGAUCAUCUAGAUUUAAAUGCUUUAAAGAGAAGAGGCAUUAGAGUUGGUUACACUCCAGAUGUUCUGACUGAAGCUACUGCAGAAUUGAUAGUAGGUCUUUUAUUAGCCACAUCAAGGAAAUUACUGCAAGCAAAUAAGGCAAUCUACAAAGGUGAAUGGAAAGCCUGGGCACCUGUGUGGAUGUGCGGUACAGGAUUGUCAGGAAAAACUGUAGGAAUCGUCGGUUUGGGGAGAAUAGGCUUCCGAGUCGCAGAGCUACUCAAGGGUUUCAACAUUGCCAAAAUAUUAUACACAAGUAGAACAAUCAAACCUGAAGCAUCUAAAUUUGGCGGUGAAAAAGUUGAAUUUAAUAGACUGCUCAAGGACAGCGAUUUCGUCAUAGUGGCCGUAGCAUUGACAUCAGAAACGAAACAUAUAUUUAAUACGGAAGCUUUUAAACAAAUGAAGAAAACGGCCAUAUUCGUUAACGGCAGUCGUGGAGAUGUCGUGGAUCAAGAAGCGCUGAUAAGCGCUUUGAAGAAUGGCACAAUCUCAGCAGCUGGUUUAGAUGUUAUGACACCAGAACCAAUACCUUUAGACAGUGAACUUUUAAAACUAGAUAAUUGCGUGGUUCUACCUCACAUAGGAAGUGCCACCACAGAAACCAGAGAAGAAAUGGCCAGAAUCACAGCAAGAAAUAUUAUAGCUGUCCUGGAAGGAACUCCAGAAAAUAUGCCUGCACAAAUUGAUUUAACAUAGUUGCAUCAUUACCGUGAUUGUACAGUGUAUAGGAUUCUUCCUAAUCAUGAUAUGAUAUAUAUUCGAUCAGCAAGAUCAAACGGAUACACGAUGGUUUUCGCUAAGAGUCCAGCAAUACUACCAGAAAACAUAGAAUUAUAGAAACUAGUAUCGGUAUUGGAGGUGUAUUUUUUAUAGAAAUCUAUAAAAAAUUCAUAGAAUGCAAAUUGCAGGCC
Molecule: non-coding RNA, 1259 nt
Organism: Linepithema humile (Argentine ant)
Lineage: Eukaryota; Metazoa; Arthropoda; Insecta; Hymenoptera; Formicidae
Source: RefSeq, a predicted model, not a curated record